This is a non-coding RNA of Odocoileus virginianus texanus, 72 nucleotides long. Lineage: Eukaryota; Metazoa; Chordata; Mammalia; Artiodactyla; Cervidae. The record is from the annotation of a RefSeq genome assembly.
GGGGAUGUAGCUCAGUGGUAGAGCGCGUGCCUUGCGAGCAUGCGGUCCCGGGUUCGAUUCCCGGCAUCUCCA